Molecule: microRNA precursor, 71 nt
Organism: Accipiter nisus (Eurasian sparrowhawk)
Lineage: Eukaryota; Metazoa; Chordata; Aves; Accipitriformes; Accipitridae
Product: microRNA 29c
Source: Ensembl
UGACCGAUUUCUCUUGGUGUUCAGAGUCUCAGUUUUUGUCUAGCACCAUUUGAAAUCGGUUAUGAUGUAGG